Molecule: long non-coding RNA, 345 nt
Filed under: Gossypium barbadense (sea-island cotton)
Lineage: Eukaryota; Viridiplantae; Streptophyta; Magnoliopsida; Malvales; Malvaceae
Description: long non-coding RNA (GBAR_LNC006276)
Source: RNAcentral
GAUAAUGGAACAUGAGAGGUGGUUAUUUACCCCCUGAUAAUUGCAAAUGGGUCUAUAAAAUCAAAUACAACUUGGAUAGGUCUGUUGAAUGUUCUAAGGCUCGGGUAGUGGGCAAAGGGUACAAGCAACAAGUUGGGGUAGAUUUUCAGGAGACAUUUUCCCCGGUUGCAAAGAAAGUUAUAGUUUGGACUGAUACGUGCUUGGAUUGGGUGAAAAUUAUUAAAUUUCAUUUACCAAAGCUGCCAAUUUUCAAGCUUGAGAAAUCAGCAAACUUGCAAACGACUUUUUAGAUAGGAUCUUAGCAUUUUUGGGUUGAGAUAUUUUCAUGGCGUUUGAAGAUCUAUC